UACAGAGGCCUCAAGCGUUGUUCGGAAUUACUGGGCGUAAAGGGUGCGCAGGCCGCACGGGCAGUCAAAUGUGUAAUUCAGAGGCUCAACCUCUGGACUGCGCUUGAUACUUCCGUGCUCGAACCUUGGAGAGGAGUCUGGAAUUCUCGGUGUAGCAGUGAAAUGCGUGGAUAUCGAGAAGAACACUUAGGGCGAAGGCAAGACUCUAGACAAGUGUUGACGCUCAUGCACGAAGGCUAGGGUAGCGAACGGG
This 253-nucleotide ribosomal RNA is filed under the name uncultured bacterium. Its description in RNAcentral is "partial 16S ribosomal RNA". It matches the Rfam family "Bacterial small subunit ribosomal RNA", at positions 524 to 776 of the family's 1533-position model. The record is from RNAcentral.